CUUUCGUUAGACAACAAAUGGAUCAUCUGAUUGAUAUCUCAGUAUUAGGAAAUCAUUAUCAGGCUCCAGAAAAUGAUUUUCUGUUACAGAACUGGGAUUAUUUAUUUAUUUCGGUACCAAUGAAUGUAUUUUUCACUCAAUGGAGAUUUUCCAUUUUUGGCCCACAGCAAUAUCCGGAGAGAGAGCGAGAGAUUCCUAUAGAAUACAAGACAAGACUAUCACAAUGACUUCAACAUGACUUGCUCUAGGAUGACCAAAGGAAGGGGAUCUGAAUGAGCCAUCUUAGAGGCUCCAAGGUGCCUGCUUCAGAACACUGAUGGAUGACUACAUGUGGGCUGAAGGUAAUGAGGUUGGUCAGCUGGAGGGCUUUCACCAGGCCCUUAAUCUGUCACCCCCUUGACACCUGCCUUCCCCUGAAAAGUGACAAAUGAUACAUUGAGUCAUGGUGGUAAUGUAAACCUCAGUGUAUUCUAGAAUCCCACAUCUACUGUUCUUAUGACAAGC
RNAcentral lists this long non-coding RNA (504 nucleotides) under Macaca mulatta (Rhesus monkey). RNAcentral describes it as "lncRNA (ENSMMUG00000064550.1)". Lineage: Eukaryota; Metazoa; Chordata; Mammalia; Primates; Cercopithecidae. The record is from RNAcentral.